UACGUAGGCAACCUGCCCUCAAGCUUGGGACAACUACCGGAAACGGUAGCUAAUACCGAAUACUUGCUUCCUUCGCCUGAAGGGAGCUGGAAAGACGGAGCAAUCUGUCACUUGAGGAUGGGCCUGCGGCGCAUUAGCUAGUUGGUGAGGUAACGGCUCACCAAGGCGACGAUGCGUAGCCGACCUGAGAGGGUGAUCGGCCACACUGGGACUGAGACACGGCCCAGACUCCUACGGGAGGCAGCAGUAGGGAAUCUUCCGCAAUGGGCGAAAGCCUGACGGAGCAAUGCCGCGUGAGUGAUGAAGGUUUUCGGAUCGUAAAGCUCUGUUGCCAGGGAAGAACGUCCUUGAGAGUAACUGCUCAAGGAGUGACGGUACCUGAGAAGAAAGCCCCGGCUAACUACGUGCCAGCAGCCGCGGUAAUACGUAGGGGGCAAGCGUUGUCCGGAAUUAUUGGGCGUAAAGCGCGCGCAGGCGGUCAUUUAAGUCUGGUGUUUAAUCCCGGGGCUCAACCCCGGAUCGCACUGGAAACUGGAUGACUUGAGUGCAGAAGAGGAGAGUGGAAUUCCACGUGUAGCGGUGAAAUGCGUAGAGAUGUGG
Molecule: ribosomal RNA, 600 nt
Filed under: Paenibacillus illinoisensis
Lineage: Bacteria; Bacillati; Bacillota; Bacilli; Caryophanales; Paenibacillaceae
Description: bacterial SSU rRNA
Rfam family: Bacterial small subunit ribosomal RNA
Source: RNAcentral